CUCAGCUUCAAAUUAUUUUCGACAAGUUGCCAAACAAAUUGAAAAUUCAGCCCGCCUGCACAAAAAAAAAAAAGAUGGCCGACUACACGGGCCUGUUCAGGUGCCACAAGGCGGUGAUGAUCCUAACCGAGGAGGUCGCACUCGCACCCGCACCCUCUCCCGCAUCCUGCUAAAAGGAUGCGUCCUGCUGGUUAGGUUUCCUGCCACAUAAACAGGCAAAUAAAGAGCCAUUUGGUGUGCUUUCAUAUUCAU
Drosophila melanogaster (fruit fly) is the source of this 252-nucleotide non-coding RNA. NCBI's taxonomy places the organism in Eukaryota, Metazoa, Arthropoda, Insecta, Diptera, Drosophilidae. The record is from Ensembl.